AUGGUUGUCGUCAGCUCGUGUCGUGAGAUGUUGGGUUAAGUCCCGCAACGAGCGCAACCCCUACGUUUAGUUGCUAACGCGUGAAGGCGAGCACUCUAGACGAACUGCCGUUGACAAAACGGAGGAAGUGGGGAUGACGUCAAAUCAUCAUGCCCCUUAUGUUCUGGGCUACACACGUGCUACAAUGGCCGGUACAGACGGACGCAAAGCCGCGAGGUGGAGCAAAUCCUAAAAAGCCGGUCUCAGUUCGGAUUGCAGGCUGCAAUUCGCCUGCAUGAAGUCGGAAUCGCUAGUAAUCGCAGGUCAGCAUACUGCGGUGAAUACGUUCCCGGGCCUU
This 337-nucleotide ribosomal RNA is filed under the name uncultured Pelotomaculum sp. Its description in RNAcentral is "bacterial SSU rRNA". It matches the Rfam family "Bacterial small subunit ribosomal RNA", at positions 1045 to 1382 of the family's 1533-position model. The record is from RNAcentral. Lineage: Bacteria; Bacillati; Bacillota; Clostridia; Eubacteriales; Desulfotomaculaceae.